UAGAGUUUGAUCCUGGCUCACAUUGAACGCUGGCGGCAUGCCUUACACAUGCAAGUCGAACGGCAGCACGGGCUUCGGCCUGGUGGCGAGUGGCGAACGGGUGAGUAAUACAUCGGAACGUGCCCUGUAGUGGGGGAUAACUAGUCGAAAGAUUAGCUAAUACCGCAUACGACCUGAGGGUGAAAGCGGGGGACCGCAAGGCCUCGCGCUACAGGAGCGGCCGAUGUCUGAUUAGCUAGUUGGUGGGGUAAAAGCCUACCAAGGCGACGAUCAGUAGCUGGUCUGAGAGGACGAUCAGCCACACUGGGACUGAGACACGGCCCAGACUCCUACGGGAGGCAGCAGUGGGGAAUUUUGGACAAUGGGGGCAACCCUGAUCCAGCAAUGCCGCGUGUGUGAAGAAGGCCUUCGGGUCGUAAAGCACUUUUGUCCGGAAAGAAAUGGCUCUGGUUAAUACCCGGGGUCGAUGACGGUACCGGAAGAAUAAGCACCGGCUAACUACGUGCCAGCAGCCGCGGUAAUACGUAGGGUGCGAGCGUUAAUCGGAAUUACUGGGCGUAAAGCGUGCGCAGGCGGUUUUGUAAGACAGGCGUGAAAUCCCCGAGCUCAACUUGGGAAUGGCGCUUGUGACUGCAAGGCUAGAGUAUGUCAGAGGGGGGUAGAAUUCCACGUGUAGCAGUGAAAUGCGUAGAGAUGUGGAGGAAUACCGAUGGCGAAGGCAGCCCCCUGGGACGUCACUG
RNAcentral lists this ribosomal RNA (740 nucleotides) under bacterium enrichment culture clone ADE_8. Its description in RNAcentral is "bacterial SSU rRNA". It matches the Rfam family "Bacterial small subunit ribosomal RNA", at positions 1 to 742 of the family's 1533-position model. The record is from RNAcentral.